RNAcentral lists this ribosomal RNA (253 nucleotides) under uncultured bacterium. RNAcentral's name for it is "partial 16S ribosomal RNA". It matches the Rfam family "Bacterial small subunit ribosomal RNA", at positions 524 to 776 of the family's 1533-position model. The record is from RNAcentral.
UACGUAGGGGGCAAGCGUUGUCCGGAUUUAUUGGGCGUAAAGAGCGUGUAGGCGGCUUUACAGGUCCGUUGUGAAAACUGGAGGCUCAACUUCCAGACGUCGACGGAAACCGUGUGGCUAGAGUCCGGAAGAGGAGAGUGGAAUUCCUGGUGUAGCGGUGAAAUGCGCAGAUAUCAGGAAGAACACCAAUGGCGAAGGCAGCUCUCUGGGACGGUACUGACGCUGAGACGCGAAAGCGUGGGGAGCGAACAGG